This is an unclassified non-coding RNA of Callithrix jacchus (white-tufted-ear marmoset), 298 nucleotides long. It matches the Rfam family "Metazoan signal recognition particle RNA". Rfam says of the family: The signal recognition particle (SRP) is a universally conserved ribonucleoprotein. It is involved in the co-translational targeting of proteins to membranes. The eukaryotic SRP consists of a 300-nucleotide 7S RNA and six proteins: SRPs 72, 68, 54, 19, 14, and 9. The record is from Ensembl. Lineage: Eukaryota; Metazoa; Chordata; Mammalia; Primates; Cebidae.
UCCAGGCGCAGUGGCGCAUGCCUGUAGUCCCAGCUACUCAGGAGGCUGAGGCUGGAGAAUCCCUUGAGUUCAGGAGUUCUGGGCGUAGUGCGCUAUACUGAUUGGGUGUCUGCACUAAGUUCGGCAUCAAUAUGGUGACCUCCCGGGAGCCGGGAACCACCAGGUUGCCUUAGGAGGGGUGAACUGGCCCAGGUUGGAAACAGAGCAGGUUAAAACUCCCUUGCUGAUCAGUAGUGGGAUUGCACCUGUGAAUGCCACUGCCCUCCAGCCUGGGCAACAUAGUGAGACCCUGCCUCUU